GACACGGUCCAGACUCCUACGGGAGGCAGCAGUAAGGAAUAUUGCUCAAUGGGGGAAACCCUGAAGCAGCAACGCCGCGUGGAGGAUGACACUUUUCGGAGCGUAAACUCCUUUUGUUAGGGAAGAACAAUGACGGUACCUAACGAAUAAGCACCGGCUAACUUCGUGCCAGCAGCCGCGGUAAUACGAGGGGUGCAAGCGUUACUCGGAAUCACUGGGCGUAAAGGACGCGUAGGCGGAUUAUCAAGUCUCUUGUGAAAUCCUAUGGCUUAACCAUAGAACUGCUUGGGAAACUGAUAAUCUAGAGUGAGGGAGAGGCAGAUGGAACUCUUGGUGUAGGGGUAAAAUCCGUAGAUAUCAAGAAGAAUACCCAUUGCGAAGGCGAUCUGCUAGAACUCUACUGACGCUAAUGCGUGAAAGCGUGGGGAGCAAACAGGAUUAGAUACCCUGGUAGUCCACGCCCUAAACGAUGCAUACUAGUUGUUGCUGUGCUAGUCACAGCAGUAAUGCACCUAACGGAUUAAGUAUGCCGCCUGGGGAGUACGGUCGCAAGAUUAAAACUCAAAGGAAUAGACGGGGACCCGCACAAGCGGUGGAGCAUGUGGUUUAAUUCGAAGCUACGCGAAGAACCUUACCUAGACUUGAUAUCCAACAAAUUUGCUAGAAAUAGUGAAGUGCUAGCUUGCUAGAAUGUUGAGACAGGUGCUGCACGGCUGUCGUCAGCUCGUGUCGUGAGAUGUUGGGUUAAGUCCCGCAACGAGCGCAACCCCUGUAUUUAGUUGCUAACAGUUCGGCUGAGCACUCUAAAUAGACUGCCUGCGCAAGCAGGAGGAAGGUGGGGACGACGUCAAGUCAUCAUGGCCCUUAUGUCUAGGGCGACACACGUGCUACAAUGGCAUAUACAAUGAGACGCAAUACCGCGAGGUGGAGCUAAUCUAUAAAAUAUGUCCCAGUUCGGAUUGGAGUCUGCAACUCGACUCCAUAAAGUCGGAAUCGCUAGUAAUCGCAAAUCAGCCAUGUUGCGGUGAAUACGUUCCCGGGUCUUGUACUCACCGCCCGUCACACCAUGGGAGUUGAUUUCACUCGAAGCAGGGAUGCUAAACUAGCUACCUUCCACAGUGGAAUCAGCGACUGGGGUGAAGUCGUAACAAGGCAACCGUAGGAGAACCUGCGGUUG
Molecule: ribosomal RNA, 1177 nt
Filed under: human gut metagenome
Description: bacterial SSU rRNA
Rfam family: Bacterial small subunit ribosomal RNA
Source: RNAcentral